RNA transcript from Megalops cyprinoides (Indo-Pacific tarpon), 2054 nucleotides. It is a transcript of the gene named heterogeneous nuclear ribonucleoprotein D, with no coding region annotated. NCBI's taxonomy places the organism in Eukaryota, Metazoa, Chordata, Actinopteri, Elopiformes, Megalopidae. The record is from RefSeq and is a predicted model, not a curated record. The transcript has 9 exons.
CUACUUCCUGCAACCAUUUUGUGAGCGGCGCCAUUACAUUGACCUGACCCGUUAGCUGGCUAGCUAGUAUUAAAUAACAUCGUCACAUAAAAUAUAUACACGAAAAAAAGAAUAAAUAGCUAGUACGAACAACUGUCUUGAAUGCGUAGACGGGAACGUUCCGUCCAUCGCGCUUAGAUAUUGAUGUUGUUCGUCUGACUUAGUCCUUACCGUGUCUCUGGUGGUGGAAACGUAGCUGGCUCGCUAGCCAGCUAAUUUCAGAGGAGAAUAGAUAGUUUUCCAGCUACUACUAGUAGCCUUUCCUUAACAGUUAAAAAUGUCAGAGGAACAGCAGAUCGGCGAAGAUCCCGUUAUGAAGAUGGAGGAGGACAGUGAAGCCAUCGGCGAGGAACAGACGGCGACCGUUGAGAGUGGGUCGGGAGAAUCGGAGGGAUCAAAGAUUGAUGCAAGUAAAAACGAAGAGGAUGAAGGGAAGAUGUUUGUAGGAGGACUGAGCUGGGAUACGACAAAGAAGGACUUGAAAGAUUACUUCUCCAAGUUUGGGGAGGUUGUGGAUUGCACGCUUAAACUGGAUCCCAUGACUGGGCGGUCCAGAGGCUUCGGCUUCGUGUUGUUCAAAGACGCUGAGAGUGUCGACAAGGUCAUUUUACAAAAGGAACACAAACUGAAUGGGAAAGUAAUCGACCCUAAAAAGGCCAAGGCCAUGAAAACAAAGGAACCUGUUAAGAAGAUCUUCGUAGGAGGCCUUUCCCCAGACACCCCUGAAGAGAAAAUCAGAGAAUACUUUGGUGGCUUUGGAGAGGUGGAGUCCAUUGAGCUGCCCAUGGAGAACAAGACAAACAAAAGGCGUGGCUUCUGUUUCAUCACCUUCAAAGAUGAAGAGCCUGUAAAGAAGAUCAUGGAGAAGAAGUACCACAACAUUGGACUGAGCAAGUGUGAAAUCAAGGUGGCCAUGUCGAAGGAACAGUACCAGCAGCAGCAGUGGGGUGGCCGAGGUGGUUACUCCUCCAGGUCUCGGGGGAGAGGCGGACCAAACCAAAAUUGGAACCAGGGAUAUGGCAAUUACUGGAACCAAGGGUAUGGUAAUUAUGGUAACUACGGCUACAACAACCAAGGUUACGGAGGAUACGGUGGCUACGAUUACUCCGGCUAUAACAACUACUACGGAUAUGGUGACUACAGCAAUCAGCAGAGUGGUUAUGGCAAAUCCCCAAGGCGAGGUGGUCACCAAAACAGUUACAAGCCAUACUAAUAUAGUAUCCCCACUAAGUACAAGCAGCGGCAACUUCCUUGCAGGCCAUGAGUCGAGCUGGCUUCCCGAUUCUCUCAGGCCCGCUCAAUGCGGACAGGGUACGAGAGGCGUACGCUCUCGAAUGCUGCCAUUUGGCAGUGGGGCAGGAUUGAGCGCCGGAUAGAUCGGAAGGAGAUGCUUUAUAUCGUAAUCACAAGCCACAGUCGUUUGGUCAAGAUAGUCGUUUUGUAUGGAUUGAUAAAGGCAUUGUUUAAUCGUGCUUCUUUACAAUCCCCAACUGAAUUAGAUUCUGUCUACCUUUAGUUCAGUAUUUUGUGGUGCCUCUUAAAAGCUUCCACUUUUUCAUAAGUAGCUUGCUUUUUGUCUACCCUUUUUGUGAGAGGUCUUGUGUUCAGGUACAUUUUAUGCAACUUGUAAGUUUGUUUUAGAAAGUUCAGUCCCUUUUCCUUAAUAAACCCUUUUUGUACAACUAUUAUGAGUUCAUUGUAAGUUGUUUUCAAACCAGUCAUAGAUGAGGUUUGUGAUCAUUUGUUUUUAAGGUUAAGAAUGCUAGCAGUGAAAAUUUCAUAUAAUACAAAAUAAUUUGUAUGAAGAGUGGAACAUCCAUUUGGUGUUUGUGUCCACUAAUGUCUGCUUUGGCACACGCUUCCUUACAAAUAUUAUACUUAUAAAUAUUAUACGUAUAUACAUGUUUCAUAUACAGUUCAUGAAUAUGGCUACACAAGUCUGGGGAAAAAUGAGAAUGUGAAUUAAGGCUGAAGAAUGCAUUGUACUAAUAAACAAUUGUAUUGCCAUAACAUGA